RNAcentral lists this ribosomal RNA (252 nucleotides) under uncultured bacterium. Its description in RNAcentral is "partial 16S ribosomal RNA". It matches the Rfam family "Bacterial small subunit ribosomal RNA", at positions 524 to 776 of the family's 1533-position model. The record is from RNAcentral.
GACGAACCGAGCGAACGUUGUUCGGAAUAACUGGGCUUAAAGGGCGCGUAGGCGGGCCGCGUGGUCCGAGGUGAAAUCCUCCGGCUCAACCGGAGAACUGCCUCGGAUACCGGCGGCCUGGAGGGGGUAGGGCACGCGGGAACUGUGGGUGGAGCGGUGAAAUGCGUUGAUAUCCACAGGAACUCCGGUGGCGAAGGCGGCGUGCUGGACCCCACCUGACGCUGAGGCGCGAAAGCCAGGGGAGCAAACGGG